Long non-coding RNA from Chinchilla lanigera (long-tailed chinchilla), 1041 nucleotides. RefSeq lists it as uncharacterized. The transcript is spliced from 4 exons. Lineage: Eukaryota; Metazoa; Chordata; Mammalia; Rodentia; Chinchillidae. The record is from RefSeq and is a predicted model, not a curated record.
GCACUUUCCAAAGGCUGCAGUGUCUCAGACACGGAUUGCACCGGUGGUUUCACUGGAAUCCCACACCUUGGGAGGGAGGAGAGCCUGUGAACAUCCUGCAUCUCCAGGCUACCUGGCCUGAACUGUCCCACACUCUUCACCUCUCACAAAUGGUGGGGACUAUGACAAGCUUGGAGGCUCCCCUCUGCAUUUCUGUUUUCUUUUCCUUGGUGGCAGUGUUCUUAUCACCACCUGGCACUGGGAGCUCAGAGAAUGUAGAAAGGAGCAAACAGAGGGCGGAAAAAGGUCUAGCUCCUGGAUUCAGAUGCUAAGGUUCAGAGCAGCUGUUUGUUGCAGAGUUACAAAGGCACGUUUCCCAGCUCUGGACUCAUAGUCAGGAGACCUGCCCUGGAUCAAGAUGAUGUUAACACACGUAAUACAAAUGGAUUUGAAAAGGAUGCAUGAGAUCAGGUACCUUAGCUUGACAGGGGGAUUCCUGAGCUAGCUGGCGUCAAAGUACAUGAACGCUGUCUGUGCUUCCUCAGUCCCCCCAGAUGGCCACUGGUGACUGCUGACCCCAAGAGCUGACCUGCUGCUGACGCAGGCAGAAUUAUGGUGCUAACCACAGUCAUCAUAAUUAGAGCUAAUAAUGUCAAAAAAAGUCUGCUGCCAUGGGCUCUGCUCUGCUAAAAGUCUAAAAAUUCAACAGAGAAAAGAUAUGCCUUCUCUAAGAAAUCCACUUAUUAGUUCAUAGAACAAUGUAUGUUUAGAAAGAAACAACUUAAAGCUCCACUACAUUUUAGAAUUAUCAAGUUCAUCCCAAACCGAGGACUUCCCUAACAAUGCCUGUAAUACCAUCUUAGAAUGAAUUUUCCAUUCAAUUCAGAAACACUGGCUCAUCAGUAUUUCAGUUUUACAUCUCUUUCUGCAAUAAAACUGUUGACAUAUUUGGGGAAGAAUUACAGUGCAUGGCAAGAAUAAAGCUACCAAACAUUCAUGACAUAUAAAUAAUUCUUUGUCACUAUUCAUAAAUACGUUUCUUGCAUUCAUAGACCUGCUUCA